This 841-nucleotide ribosomal RNA is filed under the name bacterium RSD-1-10. Its description in RNAcentral is "bacterial SSU rRNA". It matches the Rfam family "Bacterial small subunit ribosomal RNA", at positions 40 to 877 of the family's 1533-position model. The record is from RNAcentral.
CGGCAUGCCUUACACAUGCAAGUCGAACGGCAGCACGGGAGCAAUCCUGGUGGCGAGUGGCGAACGGGUGAGUAAUAUAUCGGAACGUGCCCAGUCGUGGGGGAUAACGCAGCGAAAGCUGUGCUAAUACCGCAUACGAUCUAUGGAUGAAAGCGGGGGAUCGCAAGACCUCGCGCGAUUGGAGCGGCCGAUAUCAGAUUAGGUAGUUGGUGGGGUAAAGGCUCACCAAGCCGACGAUCUGUAGCUGGUCUGAGAGGACGACCAGCCACACUGGAACUGAGACACGGUCCAGACUCCUACGGGAGGCAGCAGUGGGGAAUUUUGGACAAUGGGCGCAAGCCUGAUCCAGCAAUGCCGCGUGCAGGAUGAAGGCCUUCGGGUUGUAAACUGCUUUUGUACGGAACGAAAGGGCUCUGGUUAAUACCUGGGGCAUAUGACGGUACCGUAAGAAUAAGCACCGGCUAACUACGUGCCAGCAGCCGCGGUAAUACGUAGGGUGCGAGCGUUAAUCGGAAUUACUGGGCGUAAAGCGUGCGCAGGCGGUAAUGCAAGACAGAUGUGAAAUCCCCGGGCUUAACCUGGGAACUGCAUUUGUGACUGCAUUGCUGGAGUGCGGCAGAGGGGGAUGGAAUUCCGCGUGUAGCAGUGAAAUGCGUAGAUAUGCGGAGGAACACCGAUGGCGAAGGCAAUCCCCUGGGCCUGCACUGACGCUCAUGCACGAAAGCGUGGGGAGCAAACAGGAUUAGAUACCCUGGUAGUCCACGCCCUAAACGAUGUCAACUGGUUGUUGGGUCUUAACUGACUCAGUAACGAAGCUAAGNCGUGAAGUUGACCGCCUGGG